AGUUCCUUAGUGUAAUGGCAAUCAUACGAGACCCUGGAUCUUGUGAUGGCGGUUCGACUCCGCCAGGAACUA
Methanobrevibacter sp. AbM4 is the source of this 72-nucleotide transfer RNA. It matches the Rfam family "tRNA". Rfam says of the family: Transfer RNA (tRNA) molecules are approximately 80 nucleotides in length. NCBI's taxonomy places the organism in Archaea, Methanobacteriati, Methanobacteriota, Methanobacteria, Methanobacteriales, Methanobacteriaceae. The record is from Rfam.